Molecule: long non-coding RNA, 892 nt
Organism: Apis mellifera (honey bee)
Lineage: Eukaryota; Metazoa; Arthropoda; Insecta; Hymenoptera; Apidae
Exons: 3
Source: RefSeq, a predicted model, not a curated record
GCUGCGGCCUGAUUUCGAAUCUCUCUGUCAAUAUAUAGCGAAAUAGAAUUGGACCAGCGAACACGUUACGCUAUUCGCUGAUGCGUUUCAUGAUAUUAACAGCAAAUCCGUUUUAGAAACCGAUUCGACGCGAAUCUACAAUCGAUCACUUGAUUAAUAUCCGCGUGUAACUGUGAGAACGAUCCAUUUUUACAUUCGGAAUUUCGGUGUGUAACGAUCCAUUUUCUACUUGUGUCCGUGCCUCGAGCGAUCUGCAAAUUCCUUGCCUGGGCCCUUAUCGCCAACUGGAAUAAGAGUUUGAGGAUACCGACAGCAUGGUUAACGAACAGAAGAAAAAGACAAUUCGAAAGACACAGGAAUUGGAAAGUUGGUGAGAAGAGAAAACGGAACGGAAACUGGCAGACAGUCGAUUCUGUUUUUCGAAAAGGAGAAUGCGGAGAAAUGCUCAGAAAUUCAAGUCUCUAGAGCACUUGAUCGAGUUCAGUUUCGAACGAGCGAAGUGUACGAAUCGAAUCGACAAUGUAAUGACAACGAUGCUCUUGAAAUAGGCUUGUUGAAAUGCAUACCGUUAACAAGAGACCGAAACAAGAGCGGUUACAUAAACAUUUUCCAUUGGAUAUUUCAAAAGCAAUGGUGGUGACUGCAAAGAGAAAUGCACGAAGAUUUGCACCGCAUCCCCUAGGAGAUUGAGCUCGAUGCUUGAAGCACGUUCUUCUGUUACAGAAAUUUGUUUCUUCGAUUCAAUGAAAUGAAAAACGUGAAAAAGCAGAAUCGAAGCAUAUUCAAACUUUUGUUCAUUGAUAUUUUAAGUAUAUUGUAGAAAUUGGUAAUGAAUAUGCCAUAAUAUUUUUAUAAUUUAUAAUUUUUUAAGAUGUAACAAUAAAAACAAGAU